RNAcentral lists this ribosomal RNA (721 nucleotides) under Asteronema ferrugineum. RNAcentral describes it as "Asteronema ferruginea ribosomal RNA". The stretch from base 303 to 457 matches the Rfam family "5.8S ribosomal RNA". The record is from RNAcentral. Lineage: Eukaryota; Phaeophyceae.
UUACCGAAAGGGGAGCAAACCCCUACCAAAAACCGCCCGCGCGUUCCGGGAAACCGAUCGUCAAGCCCUCCAACAGGAGAGCCACACCCGCGAACGAAAUUGCUUAUGCGAUGCUGGGCGAGUGGCGACUCGCCGAGCGUUCCCCUCCGCCCCCUCUCUCGCCGCCCGCGAGAGAGGGAGGAGGAGGAGGAGGCGCUCGAAUCAAAGCGCACCCACAUUCAACCCCACUAAACUCUGAAUCUGAACUCAAAAAGGAGGCGCGGUCCCUCGCGACGGCGCCCCCUCAACCUUUAACGUUGUAAAACUUUCAGCGACGGAUGUCUUGGCUCCCACAACGAUGAAGAACGCAGCGAAAUGCGAUACGUCUUGCGACUUNNNNNNNNNNNNGAAUCAUCAAAACUUUGAACGCACCUUGCGCUUCCGGGAUAUGCCUGGGAGCAUGCUUGUCGGAGUGUCUGUUGACACCACUCACCCCGCCUCUCUCUCUCCUCUUGCGAUCAAAAGCACGAUGGGGGAGGGGUCGGUGGCGGACUCUGCGUGUUCCGGAGACCUGGCUCUCCGAGUGCACCCAAUCUCGUGAACGAAACUUCUACCGCCUAGCUGCGCAGAGUUGUUGACGGCGUUCUGCCCGCAAGGGCGACGACUCUCGACUCGCCAACGCGCCUCGAGGCUGGCAGGGGUGCUAUUCCGGUGGCCUUUAACGGCCUCCUACUUUCGUUCG